GAGUUAAUUAUUUUCAAAUAAGUGGAAUCCCAAAAAAUGAUUUAAACGGCAAAAAUAAAGUGUAAAAUUAUAUGAAACAUGAAAAUUGAAAUCCCAUUUUUCAUCAUUUCCUUUUCAUAUAUUGAAUACACUAUUUACACCAACCACUAGUGAAUUAUAUUCGGAUUUCGGUCUUAGGUAUCCGUCCUUGUCUCCGGGAAUAUUAUACCCACACAAGUUGUCAACAUCCGUUUUCAAACUGUUCAAAGUGUUCUUCACAAUCUCCCUGGAAAAUAUUCACGCUAUCACUUCGUGCUCAGAUAAUAGAACAUUGUAAACCUCUAACAGCAAAUGCGGACCAAAAUUAAUCAAAUUUGAAAGCACGGAUGAUCACGUGUAAUGCCGACUGAUGGAGAAAGAUGUUCACUAUGGAUCAAAAAUUCAAAACAGAGGACUUUUUUAUUCAAACAAAAAUACUUGUACAUGUAUGAUAUUCUGUACAUACAACAAGAAAACAGUAAUCAAACGGAAUGUCCAGUGAUGUUGAAAGCAAAAUUAUUUUUGUUAACAGAAAACAAUAGGACUACAAUAUAUUAAGGUACACAACACAUCGUGUCAGAAGAAUAAUUUUACUGGAGAAAAAAAAAUUUAAUACCUGGAAUCAGCAAUUUACAAAAUGUAUACAAAAUUUAUUAAGAGAGAUAUAUUCAUGUACAGAAUGGUAACCCCACCAAAUAACUCAGGUGGUUCAAGUGAUUAUUAGCAGACAUUUUUGUUGAACUAAUGCAGGAUUAAACAAAUGAAGCUUUAGCAGACUAUGGGCUCCAAAGUGUAGUAAAAAGAGGAUUUUUAAAUAUGACAGACUCAUAAACAUUAAAAUGUGCAUAAGUGAAAUGUUACAAUAUUUAGAAAAAAUUCAGAUUAUUGACUCAGUUGUUUUCAUGAAAUUUUUUAUCAAAGCAAUAUCACUGUUAUAUAAUAAAUAAGAUUCCAUA
This is a long non-coding RNA of Mytilus californianus (California mussel), 974 nucleotides long. RefSeq lists it as uncharacterized. The record is from RefSeq and is a predicted model, not a curated record. The transcript has 3 exons. Lineage: Eukaryota; Metazoa; Mollusca; Bivalvia; Mytilida; Mytilidae.